RNAcentral lists this ribosomal RNA (253 nucleotides) under uncultured bacterium. Its description in RNAcentral is "partial 16S ribosomal RNA". It matches the Rfam family "Bacterial small subunit ribosomal RNA", at positions 524 to 776 of the family's 1533-position model. The record is from RNAcentral.
UACAGAGGGUGCUAGCGUUGUUCGGAAUCAUUGGGCGUAAAGGGCGUGUAGGCGGUUUGUUAAGUCAUGUGUGAAAUCCCUCGGCUCAACCGAGGAAAGACGCAUGAAACUGGCAAGCUAGAGUACCGAAGAGGGGGGUGGAAUUCCCGGUGUAGCGGUGAAAUGCGCAGAUAUCAGGAGGAACACCGGUGGCGAAGGCGGGUCUCUGGGCAACAACUGACGCUGAGGAGCGAAAGCGUGGGGAGCGAACAGG